RNAcentral lists this ribosomal RNA (433 nucleotides) under uncultured bacterium. RNAcentral's name for it is "partial 16S ribosomal RNA". It matches the Rfam family "Bacterial small subunit ribosomal RNA", at positions 29 to 507 of the family's 1533-position model. The record is from RNAcentral.
AACGAACGCUGGCGGCAUGCCUAACACAUGCAAGUCGAACGAGACCUUCGGGUCUAGUGGCGCACGGGUGCGUAACGCGUGGGAACCUGCCCUUCUCUUCGGAAUAACUCCCCGAAACUGGUGCUAAUACCGGAUAAUGUCUUUGGGCCAAAGAUUUAUCGCCGUUGGAUGAGCCCGCGUUGGAUUAGCUAGUUGGUAGGGUAAAAGCCUACCAAGGCGACGAUCCAUAGCUGGUCUGAGAGGAUGAUCAGCCACACUGGGACUGAGACACGGCCCAGACUCCUACGGGAGGCAGCAGUGGGGAAUAUUGGACAAUGGGCGAAAGCCUGAUCAAGCCAUGCCGCGUGAGUGAUGAAGGCGUUAGGGUUGUAAAGCUCUUUCAGCCGGGAUGAUAAUGACAGUACCGGGAGAAUAAGCGCCGGCUAACUCCGUG